This 521-nucleotide ribosomal RNA is filed under the name uncultured eukaryote. Its description in RNAcentral is "bacterial SSU rRNA". It matches the Rfam family "Eukaryotic small subunit ribosomal RNA", at positions 21 to 549 of the family's 1831-position model. The record is from RNAcentral.
UAGUCAUAUGCUUGUCCUAAAGAUUAAGCCAUGCAUGUGUACGUUCAAGCCCUUGUACGGUGAAACUGCGGAUGGCUCAUUAUAUCAGUGAUAAUUUGGUUGGUGGAGAAUGCUGUGGAUAACCGUGGUAAUUCUAGAGCUAAUACAUGUGGAGCAGACGCAAGUCUGGCAUUUAUUAGAUAAAGCCUUGGCAAAGGGGACAACUCGUUGUCCCUCUGCGCAGGUGAGUAAUGAUAACUGGGCGGAUCGCAAACUAUUUGCGACGCACCAAGGAAAUUUCUGCCCUAUCAACUGUGGAUGGUAGGAUAGGGGCCUACCAUGGUGGCGACGGGUGACGGGGAAUCAGGGUUCGAUUCCGGAGAGGGAGCCUGAGAGAUGGCUACCACUUCCAAGGAAGGCAGCAGGCGCGCAAAUUACCCAAUCCCGAGGCGGGGAGGUAGUGACAGGACAUGACGGGGCGGGGCGCACAGCGCCCUGCGACUGGGUUGAGGAAAAGAUAAAGCGAAUGACGAGAAACGAUU